Molecule: ribosomal RNA, 492 nt
Filed under: uncultured bacterium
Lineage: Bacteria
Description: partial 16S ribosomal RNA
Rfam family: Bacterial small subunit ribosomal RNA
Source: RNAcentral
AGUGAACGCUGGCGGUAGGCCUAACACAUGCAAGUCGAACGGCAGCACAGUAAGAGCUUGCUCUUACGGGUGGCGAGUGGCGGACGGGUGAGGAAUACAUCGGAAUCUACUUUUUCGUGGGGGAUAACGUAGGGAAACUUACGCUAAUACCGCAUACGACCUACGGGUGAAAGCAGGGGAUCUUCGGACCUUGCGCGAUUGAAUGAGCCGAUGUCGGAUUAGCUAGUUGGCGGGGUAAAGGCCCACCAAGGCGACGAUCCGUAGCUGGUAUGAGAGGAUGAUCAGCCACACUGGAACUGAGACACGGCCCAGACUCCUACGGGAGGCAGCAGUGGGGAAUAUUGGACAAUGGGCGCAAGCCUGAUCCAGCCAUACCGCGUGGGUGAAGAAGGCCUUCGGGUUGUAAAGCCCUUUUGUUGGGAAAGAAAAGCAGCAGGUUAAUACCCCGCUGUCCUGACGGUACCCAAAGAAUAAGCACCGGCUAACUUCGUG